UACGUAGGGGGCAAGCGUUAUCCGGAUUUACUGGGUGUAAAGGGAGCGUAGACGGCAGGGCAAGUCUGGAGUGAAAGGCGGGGGCUCAACCCCCGGACUGCUCUGGAAACUGCCAGGCUGGAGUGCAGGAGAGGUAAGUGGAAUUCCUAGUGUAGCGGUGAAAUGCGUUGAUAUUAGGAGGAACACCAGUGGCGAAGGCGGCUUGCUGGACGAUGACUGACGUUGAGGCUCGAAAGCGUGGGGAGCAAACAGG
RNAcentral lists this ribosomal RNA (253 nucleotides) under uncultured bacterium. RNAcentral's name for it is "partial 16S ribosomal RNA". It matches the Rfam family "Bacterial small subunit ribosomal RNA", at positions 524 to 776 of the family's 1533-position model. The record is from RNAcentral.